Molecule: ribosomal RNA, 465 nt
Filed under: uncultured bacterium
Lineage: Bacteria
Description: partial 16S ribosomal RNA
Rfam family: Bacterial small subunit ribosomal RNA
Source: RNAcentral
CCUACGGGAGACAGCAGUAGGGAAUCUUCCACAAUGGGCGAAAGCCUGAUGGAGCAACGCCGCGUGGGUGAAGAAGGUCUUCGGAUCGUAAAACCCUGUUGUUAGAGAAGAAAGUGCGUGAGAGUAACUGUUAACGUUUCGACGGUAUCUAACCAGAAAGCCACGGCUAACUACGUGCCAGCAGCCGCGGUAAUACGUAGGUGGCAAGCGUUAUCCGGAUUUAUUGGGCGUAAAGGGAACGCAGGCGGUCUUUUAAGUCUGAUGUGAAAGCCUUCGGCUUAACCGGAGUAGUGCAUUGGAAACUGGGAGACUUGAGUGCAGAAGAGGAGAGUGGAACGCCAUGUGUAGCGGUGAAAUGCGUAGAUAUAUGGAAGAACACCAGUGGCGAAAGCGGCUCUCUGGUCUGUAACUGACGCUGAGGUUCGAAAGCGUGGGUAGCAAACAGGAUUAGAUACCCGAGUAGUC